AAAAACAAAUCUACAAGUAGAUGAGCGCAAUUGGCACCCGUUGGAUUCCAAUAGUCUGUUGGAUGACCAAACCUCCAAAUUCACAUAUUAAGAAGUCUUGUGUCAUAAAUCUAAUAUAUGGAAACGUUAUCCUUGACAACUAAAAAUAGCCUGUAUUGAAAUCAAAAGCAAAAACACACUCGUGGGUCAGUUUUUGUCAAAACUAAAAACGAGAAGGAUCAAGCAUAUCGUUUUUGUGUACUCAACGUAUCCGACGAACGAGUUUUGUGUAUUAACAUGAAUGAAUAAUUUUUUAUAAAUAUUUUUUUCUUAAUCAUUGCCAGUUUCAUGUGAAUUUAACGACCAUAAUCAAUUCCAUAUUCGUUAUUCAACGAUAUUGUUGACCUUGUAUGAUCAUCACACAUA
Molecule: long non-coding RNA, 405 nt
Filed under: Mytilus galloprovincialis (Mediterranean mussel)
Lineage: Eukaryota; Metazoa; Mollusca; Bivalvia; Mytilida; Mytilidae
Source: RNAcentral